This is a non-coding RNA of Lolium perenne, 1769 nucleotides long. The record is from RefSeq and is a predicted model, not a curated record. Lineage: Eukaryota; Viridiplantae; Streptophyta; Magnoliopsida; Poales; Poaceae.
GGUCUCAAGCAGCUGUCUCCACCGUCUUGUAAGGUCGAUCUCCGGUGGAAUAAGUGCUUCCUCGCCUUCAACAAAAUGGAGGUGAGAUCGAUUUUCUUGUCAGGUGCCUACUAUGUGGACGUUUUGUACAUUUUUGCUACACUGUGUGCUAAUGAGUUUGCUAAUUUCGACAUAUCUGCUACAUUUCUUGGUUGCAAUGUUCUCACCUGCUUUCAAAUGCAGGAUAAUCUGCUUUCAGUUGCAUGAAUUUUGUGUUGUUUGUUUGUUCAUGUUCUACUUAUGCUUGUUGUGCUACAGUUUAGCAAAAUAUGCUUCUAUUUUUGUUCAAUUUAUACUUAUGCUGCUAUGUCUGCUGCUAUAUAUGUUCAUGUUGUUUCUGUCCAAUACAUCCCCAUGUUUUUGAUGCUUUUGUCUAGCACUAUCUGCAUUUUUUAUUGUUUCUAUGAAAAAAUUAACUAUUAUAGGUUUCCUUUGUAUGCUGCAUUUGUGUUUUUAAGAUAUGUGUUUUACUUGUCUAUGUUUUUUUGGUUUGGUUUCUGCGGGGUGGUACCAAGGUGCCGGGUAUUAUUUGCUCGAAGCAGCCUUCGAAGUCCACUUCGAAGGAUCGUUUUACUGCGAAGCGUUUGCGUGCUAUUGCUGGCAAGAUGGAUUCAGACAAGAGAGAAAUCAUUGAACAGAAGAGUGCCUUUAGAUGUUGUUGAAUGUGUCGCCUUUCAACAUACCCAAUGAGUUAAUUGACUAUGUUGCCCAGCAUACAUCCCCUGCUUUGCGUGAGUUCAAGGUUGGGAAGAAUCGGAUUGUGUUUACAAAAGAUAUGGUCACCAAGGUGUUUGGGAUAGUUUUGGGAUGCAAACCAGUUGUUCCUUUGAAGAGGAGUGAGCAAAGCAAUCUUCGUGAUGUCUACAGAGGUUCCAAUCCCAGACCAGAUAUACCCACAACCAUAAAGAUCCUUAGAGAAUGUGAUAUAACAGAUGAAGAAAGUAUAGUUAGGUCCUGGGACCUUCUCUGCAUGGCUAAUCUUGUCGACCCAACGAGCAGCAAUCAUGUCAGCAUGGACUACUUGGGUAGCAUGUCUGAUCCAUCCAAAACUCAUGAGUAUGCGUGGGACGAAUACAUCCUGGAUUUGUCUAUGAAAGAAGUGAAUAAGAUGCACAAGAAGCGGGUGAAGCCUUUGGCUUUCAAGGGAGAAGGGUCAAAGUUUGAGUACUGGAAUUUCUGGACCGUUUGCUAUUCUUGGGGUAUGGUUCCUUUUUUGCAGUACUGGGUUUUAUGUACUUUUCUAUUUAGUUAUUUGUAUUUGGUGUCUAACUUUUACUUUUUCUUUGGUUUGCUGUUUUGUCGCAUAUUGUGUACAUGGAUCAUGUCGAGUUCCCUCCAAAUAAUCAUGUAAUGGACUACUCCCUACCAAGAGUUUGUCAUGUAAAAUGCAGUGACUUUGAGUUUGCAGUUGUAAACGACCUUGAUAGGUUGAGUCUGAAUAACAAGAAAGUUUUUGGGAGGCGUCCGUUUCUUGAUUUUGCGAAAACACCAUACAAUGUUGUUGCAUCAGAACCUAUCGAUGUCCCUGAAGUUAACCCAUCAGCUUCUCUGAAUGAAUGGAUUGUUUUCCCUAGCAGGCCAGGAACUUGAGGUACCAGAUCGCUACAAACAUUUGCAUGAGAAGCACAAGGCCAUUUUCGCUGCUGAUGUAGAUGUAGCAACGAAGAACCUUGCUAUAUGUUUGAAACCCGGACAUCUUGCUAGAUCAAAUACAAGCAGACUUGUUGUUU